UGGGGAAUAUUGGACAAUGGGGGCAACCCUGAUCCAGCAAUGCCGCGUGUGUGAAGAAGGCCUGAGGGUUGUAAAGCACUUUCAGUGGGGAGGAGGGUAUAUAGGUUAAGAGCUAGUAUAUUGGACGUUACCCACAGAAGAAGCACCGGCUAACUCCGUGCCAGCAGCCGCGGUAAUACGGAGGGUGCGAGCGUUAAUCGGAAUUACUGGGCGUAAAGAGUGCGUAGGUGGUUGUUUAAGUUAUCUGUGAAAUUCAUGGGCUCAACCUGUGACGGUCAGAUAAUACUGAAUGACUCGAGUAUAGGAGAGGGUAGUGGAAUUUCCGGUGUAGCGGUGAAAUGCGUAGAGAUCGGAAGGAACACCAGUGGCGAAGGCGGCUACCUGGCCUAAUACUGACACU
This 400-nucleotide ribosomal RNA is filed under the name uncultured bacterium. RNAcentral describes it as "bacterial SSU rRNA". It matches the Rfam family "Bacterial small subunit ribosomal RNA", at positions 355 to 747 of the family's 1533-position model. The record is from RNAcentral.